AGACCUUUAGUUUGAACCCCGAAACCAGGUGAGCUACCCCGAGACAGCCUAUAUUGGUUUAGGGCUAACCCGUCUCUGUGGCAAAAGAAUGGGAAGAGCUCCGGGUAGAAGUGACAGACCUACCGAACCUGGUGAUAGCUGGUUGCCUGAGAAGUGGAUAGAAGUUCAGCCUCGCACACCCCAAGCCAGAGAAUACACCGCUAAGGCACUCAGGGAAAUGUGGGAGAGUUAGUUCAAGGGGGUACAGCCCCUUUAACAAAGGAUACAACCUUUGCAGGAGGAUAAAGAUCAUAAUAUAUGAAACAUGCUGCUCUAGUGGGCCUAAAGGCAGCCACCUAAACAGAAAGCGUUAAAGCUCAGGCAGAAAGAAGUUUAUUAUACCGAUAAAAAAUCUUACUCCCCUAAUUAUAUCAGGCCAACCCAUGCCAACAUGGAAGAGAUUAUGCUAAAAUGAGUAACAAGAAAACCUGCUCUUCUCCCAGCACAAGUGUAAGCCAGAUCGGACUAACCACUGGAACUUAACGAACCCAACCCAAGAGGGUAGUGUGAAUAGUACAGACCCCAAGAAGAACUCACAACUAAACAAUCGUUAACCACACACUGGAGUGCUAUUAUAAAGGAAAGACUAAAAGAGGGGGAAGGAACUCGGCAAACACAAGCCUCGCCUGUUUACCAAAAACAUCGCCUCCUGCAACUAUAUUGAGUAUAGGAGGUCCAGCCUGCCCAGUGACUACGGGUUCAACGGCCGCGGUAUUUUGACCGUGCAAAGGUAGCGCAAUCACUUGUCUCUUAAAUAGAGACCUGUAUGAAUGGCUAGACGAGGGCUUAACUGUCUCCCCCCUCCAGUCAGUGAAAUUGAUCUAUCCGUGCAGAAGCGGGUAUAAUUAUACAAGACGAGAAGACCCUUUGGAGCUUAAGGUACAAAAUCCAACCACGUUAAACGACCCCCUAAAGGGCAAGAACUUAGUGGCCAAUGAAGUUUUACCUUCGGUUGGGGCGACCACGGAGGAGAAAAAAGCCUCCGAGUGGACUGGGUUAAAACCCAAAGCUAAGAGAUACAUCUCUAAGCCGCAGAACAUCUGACCAAAAGUGAUCCGGCUAAAAAGCCGAUCAACGAACCAAGUUACCCUAGGGAUAACAGCGCAAUCCUCUCCCAGAGUCCAUAUCGACGAGGGGGUUUACGACCUCGAUGUUGGAUCAGGACAUCCUAAUGGUGCAGCCGCUAUUAAGGGU
Molecule: ribosomal RNA, 1233 nt
Filed under: Alburnus tarichi (tarek)
Lineage: Eukaryota; Metazoa; Chordata; Actinopteri; Cypriniformes; Leuciscidae
Description: partial large subunit ribosomal RNA
Rfam family: Bacterial large subunit ribosomal RNA
Source: RNAcentral